AUGAGAACUUGCCCUUCGGGGUAGAUCUCCCACCCUUUGUAUACCUCCUUUGUUGCUUUGGCAGACCUGCCCUCGGGCUACCGGCUUAGGCUGGUUCGCGUCUGCCGGAGAACCCAAAACUCUGUUUAAAAAUGUCGUCUGAGUACUAUAUAAUAGUUA
Molecule: unclassified non-coding RNA, 159 nt
Filed under: uncultured Leotiomycetes
Lineage: Eukaryota; Fungi; Ascomycota; Leotiomycetes
Description: sequence contains ITS1
Source: RNAcentral